Molecule: ribosomal RNA, 253 nt
Filed under: uncultured bacterium
Lineage: Bacteria
Description: partial 16S ribosomal RNA
Rfam family: Bacterial small subunit ribosomal RNA
Source: RNAcentral
UACGAAGGGGGCUAGCGUUGUUCGGAAUUAUUGGGCGUAAAGGGCGCGUAGGCGGCUUCAUAAGUCAAAGGUGAAAUCCCUCGGCUCAACUGAGGAACUGCCUUUGAAACUGUGGAGCUUGAGGCCGGGAGGGGGUAGCGGAAUUCCACGUGUAGCGGUGAAAUGCGUAGACAUCGGGAGGAACACCUGCGGUGUAGACGGCUUACUGGACCGUAACUGACGCUGAGGCACGAAAGCGUGGGGAGCAAACAGG